Long non-coding RNA from Cyprinus carpio (common carp), 2891 nucleotides. RefSeq lists it as uncharacterized. The record is from RefSeq and is a predicted model, not a curated record. The transcript has 5 exons. NCBI's taxonomy places the organism in Eukaryota, Metazoa, Chordata, Actinopteri, Cypriniformes, Cyprinidae.
UGUUCAAGUAUGAUUUACUGAUUUUAGCAUGAUUUAGCAUAGUUUACCAUGAUUUACCACGAUUUACCGUAGUUUACCAUGAUUUACUAUAGUAUACCACAAUUUACCAUGUUCAAGUAUGAUUUAUUGAUUCUAGCAUGAUUUACCAUAGUUUACCAUGAUUUACUACAGUAUACCACGAUUUGCCAUGUUCAAGUAUAAUUUACUGAUUCUAGCAUGAUUUACCAUAGUUUACCUUUAUUUACCACGAUUUACCAUAGUUAACCAUGAUUUACUAUAGUAUACCACGAUUUACCAUGUUCAAGUAUGAUUUACUGAUUCUAGCAUGAUUUAGCAUAGUUUACCAUGAUUUACCACGAUUUACCGUAGUUUACCAUGAUUUACUAUAGUAUACCACGAUUUAUCAUAUUAUGAUUUAUUGAUUCUAGCAUGAUUUACCAUAGUUUACCAUGAUUUACCACGAUUUACCAUGAUUUACUAUAGUAUACCACGAUUUACCAUAGUUUACCAUGAUUUACCAUAGUUUACCACGAUUUACCAUAGUAUACCACGAUUUACCAUGUUCAACAUGAUUUACCAUGAUUUACUAUAGUAUACCACGAUUUACCAUAGUUUACCAUGAUUUACCAUAGUUUAAUACAAUUUACCAUAGUUUACCAUGAUUUACCAUAGUAUACCACGAUUUACCAUGUUCAAGUAUGAUUUACUGAUUCUAGCCUGAUUUAGCAUAGUUUACCAUGAUUUACCACGAUUUACCAUAGUAUACCACGAUUUGCCAUGUUCAAGUAUAAUUUACUGAUUCUAGCAUGAUUUACCAUAGUUUACCACGAUUUACCAUAGUUUACCAUGAUUUACCAUAGUUUACCAUUAUUUACCACGAUUUACCAUAGUUUACCAUGAUUUACUAUAGUAUACCACGAUUUACCAUGUUCAAGUAUGAUAUACUGAUUCUAGCAUGAUUUACCAUAGUUUACCAUGAUUUACCAUAGUUUACCAUGAUUUACUAUAGUAUACCAUGAUUUGCCAUGUUCAAGUAUAAUUUACUGAUUCUAGCAUGAUUUCCCAUAGUUUAGCAUGAUUUACCAUAGUUUACCAUAAUUUACCAUGAUUUACCAUAGUUUACCAUUAUUUACCAUGAUUUACCAUAGUUUACCAUGAUUUACUAUAGAAUACCACGAUUUACCAUGUUCAAGUAUGAUUUACUGAUUCUAUCAUGGUUUAUCAUAGUUUACCAUGAUUUACCACGAUUUACCAUAGUUUACCAUGAUUUACUAUAGUAUACCACGAUUUACCAUGUUCAAGUAUGAUUUAUUGAUUCUAGCAUGAUUUACCAGUUUACCAUGAUAUACCACAAUUUGCCAAAGUUAACCAUGAUUUACUAUAGUUUACCAUAGUUUACCAUGAUUUACCAUAGUUUACCACGAUUUACCAUUGUUUACCAUGAUUUACCAUAGUUUACCAUGAUUUACCAUGUUUAUCCUGGCCUUAGUCAUAUUAUAGUUUAUUUUGUCAAUACUGACUCCCUGUGGACAUUUUAAGUAGCACGUUUCCUAUAAAAAUACAGCAGCCAUUUUAGGAUGUUAGAACUCAUGGCAGCAGAGUGUGAAGGUGUAUCCACGUCCUUCCUUCCUUGUUUUGCUCUUGAAAACAGCACAAUCUUUUCACAAAUUGGGCUUCAGUAAACAAAGUUUGACCCUGAAAACUGUCUACGACUUUUACUAAGGCUUUGUUUAGCUCGCUGCAAAAGCAAACUUAAGCUGAAGGCAGAAGAAUGUUCAAAGACGGCGAGCUUGAACGGGGGAGUUCUUUGGCCUGAGUGAGCAGGAGUAAAAAUACAAACUUUUCUUCUGCUAACACCAGAAAAAGAAGAAAGAAAAAAAACUAAAACCAUGGCUAACUACGCUACCAACAAAGGUCCAGUGAUUUGGAUCAUCGGGAGUAGCUACAUUCUUCGUGGGGAAGAGAGGGCCAGAGAGACCAUCGGGGCCAAUCUUGGCCUAGUGGCCAAGGUUUACUGGUUUGGCUGGGGUGGACUUCGAUGGCACGGACUCCUUCCUUUCUUCUACUGGUCCCUCAGAGGAAGAGCAGCCCCGGAUGUCCUGCUGAUUCACUGCGGCGGGAACGACUUGGGAUGCAGGAAGAGCAUCGAUCUCGUCGCAGAUCGGCAACAUCUCUAUCGGUGUUUCCCUCAGAUGACCAUUGUGCUGUCUCACAUCACCCAGAGACGUCGGUGGAGAUCGGGUCUUCCGGGGAAAAUUGACAAGUCCCGUAAAUGGGUGAACAGUGUCAUGGCUAACUUUGUCUUGGGAAUGCAGGGGGGUAUCAUGCAUCACCCUCAAAUUGUAUUUAACAAGCCUCAACUGUUUCUAAGGGACGGAGUUCAUUUAUCACCUAGGGGUAAUGAUAUUUUUUAAAAUAAUUUAGCUGAAGGCUUGAGAGUCUUAAUCCAGUAGGGGUGAUGCUGGAUUGAAACUCUCAGGAUGUUUUUAACUUGAAACAGUUGAAGAUUGUUAAAUUGUUUUGGGCUUGUGUAUCUGCCUUUUUUCUUUAGUUUAAUACAUGUUCACAUUGGUAGACAUAACACUGUUCAAUAGUCACUGCUCUUUCUCCCCUCCGUGGCAUUCAUGUAUCACCCUAGCCAUCCACCCCAUGGCCUCUCACUUUUCUUCCCCACGACGAAUGUAGCUAGAGAGGGGAUCAGGAUUAAAAAAAAAAAAAAAAAAAAAGUAUUACUUUUUUAAAAUUGUUUUUGUUUCAAUAAAUAAAUAUUUAUUAACAAAACACACAGUAGACACUUCAAGUAGACAUACUUUGACAGAAAUGUCAUGUGGUUUUAUUACUUAUGGUUUAGAACUUCGUAAUUAUACAUAUUCAGUCAGUAGCCUUCACAG